Molecule: long non-coding RNA, 508 nt
Filed under: Salvia miltiorrhiza (redroot sage)
Lineage: Eukaryota; Viridiplantae; Streptophyta; Magnoliopsida; Lamiales; Lamiaceae
Description: long non-coding RNA (SMIL_LNC008561)
Source: RNAcentral
UUAUCCUUGACAUCAUCUAAUGAUACGCAGCGGAAAUAACAGUCAAGGAUUAGAUCUAGAUUUACAAUUUAUUCAUGUGUAGAGAUAGGCAAACGUACACAACAAUAAGAAUAACUUACUUGUUAUGUGGUAAACGUGCGUCUCGAUUCGUGUCGUGAAUCCACUACUAAGGUAUCCACGUGCAUGUCGAUUCGAUGCAGGAACAAUUCCCAGUGCAUGUUUCAAUCUUCGACAGCUAGGAAAUCUCCGAUUGAAACCAUAGUACUCUCUUAGUGUUUGCAAGCCAAAAGCUCUAAGCUAAUGUUUUCGUAUAUUUUCAUAUAUCGAUUCGUAAGACCAAGCUCCCUUAUUUAUAAGCGAAGAAGACAAUUCUAAAUUGUCUUGUCUUCCUUAGUCAACAAUUACGACUAAGGAAUUCACACUUGAGUCAACAAUUACGACUAAGGAAUUCACACUUGAACUGUCUUACUUAGUAUUAGAAUAUAUCAAAUAUAUCCUAAUCUAGUCC